GGCAACCCCUAAUGGAAGCAGCCGAGGAGAAGAAGAAGAAGAAGAAGAAGAAGAAACAGAAGAAUAUGUCCUGGGAAGAGCGCUGCUCUAAGUAAAAGUCAGUGAAGCCACAGAUGAAGCAAAUAACAAGAAGGCACUCCCAAGUGUUCAAGAAAUGUGACUCACAGCACAACUCAAGGCAAUCACCUGCAGCAGGAUCUUCUGGUUUGGCAAGCUCCGAAAUUUCCAGGGCAAGUCAUCUUGCUUGGUCUCAAAUGCCAUUAACUAGACAGUGAUUGUCUUGCCAAGACGCCCCAUUCACGUUCAUCUUACCGUGUCUUUGAUGAAGGCCUUGGAUUAUUUUUUGGUGCAUGUCAGGGCACUAAGGUUUAUUAAAGUGCAGUUGGUAACUUAUAUAAGAAGAGGAAGUUUAAAUGAGUUUAUUUCUUUCUUUCUUUCUUUUUCAAAUGUGUUGAGGUAGCUUGACUUACAAGGUUGCAUAUUUAAGAUUGUUCUUGGGGAGUUACUGAAGUUAAUUUCUCAGUCUUUCCUUCACAAAUACACACACAUAUAAUAUCCACCAUUAACAAUGAAUAUGAAUCUUUCUUAAAUGUAGUUCUUCAAAACUUGAACUUAGAAUAUUUUCUACCCUUAGUUACAUGGAGCAGAAUGAUUUCAAAGUUUACUUAGUCUGUGGUGCCUACUGGUGGAGCAUUUAAGGGAAGUCCACUGGCUCUCUGAUGGACAGCAUCGGUCCUACAGCAUUACUCACAAAUGCAGAGAGAGAGAAGAGCACAUCUGCCAUUGCUUUGUUGCAACUCAAGAACAACAGAAGACUAACCAUUCUUUUCCACUUCAGCACCACUCAUUAUAAAAAUGCCACUGCUGACCUACCUCUGAUGACGUCACUUUCCAGCCAGCCAUGAUGACAUCACUUCCAGUCCACCUCUGAUGACAUC
Molecule: long non-coding RNA, 938 nt
Organism: Polypterus senegalus (gray bichir)
Lineage: Eukaryota; Metazoa; Chordata; Cladistia; Polypteriformes; Polypteridae
Exons: 3
Source: RefSeq, a predicted model, not a curated record